Molecule: non-coding RNA, 66 nt
Filed under: Licmophora paradoxa
Lineage: Eukaryota; Bacillariophyta; Fragilariophyceae; Licmophorales; Licmophoraceae
Source: RNAcentral
UGGAAGAAGAGGCUUUUUCGUUUCUUUUUUUGUCCUUCUUUUUCUUCUUUUUCUUUAUGUUGUUCU